GAUGAACGCUGGCGGCGUGCCUAAUACAUGCAAGUCGAGCGAACAGACGAGUAUCUUGCUCCUCUGACGUUAGCGGCGGACGGGUGAGUAACACGUGGAUAACCUACCUAUAAGACUUGGAUAACUUCGGGAAACCGGAGCUAAUACCGGAUAAUAUAUUGAACCGCAUGGUUCAAUAGUGAAAGACGGUUUUGCUGUCACUUAUAGAUGGAUCCGCGCCGCAUUAGCUAGUUGGUAAGGUAACGGCUUACCAAGGCAACGAUGCGUAGCCGACCUGAGAGGGUGAUCGGCCACACUGGAACUGAGACACGGUACAGACUCCUACGGGAGGCAGCAGUAGGGAAUCUUCCGAAAUGGGCGAAAGCCUGAAGGAGCAACGCAGCGUGAGUGAUGAAGGUCUUCGGAUCGUAAAACUCUGUUAUUAGGGAAGAACAAAUGUGUAAGUAACUAUGCACGUCUUGACGGUACCUAAUCAGAAAGCCACGGCUAACUACGUG
Molecule: ribosomal RNA, 497 nt
Filed under: uncultured bacterium
Lineage: Bacteria
Description: partial 16S ribosomal RNA
Rfam family: Bacterial small subunit ribosomal RNA
Source: RNAcentral